This is a long non-coding RNA of Cyprinus carpio (common carp), 1276 nucleotides long. NCBI's taxonomy places the organism in Eukaryota, Metazoa, Chordata, Actinopteri, Cypriniformes, Cyprinidae. The record is from Ensembl.
UGAGAACUGAAUUGAAUAUGGAAAUAUGCAGGUAAAGAUUUAUAAAUUAGAGAUUUAUUUUUGUAAUUUAACUGUAAAAUAAAUAUAUAAAUAAAAUGUUUACAUUAAAAAGUCAUCAAAAGUAGUAACUGAAUUAACAAACCAGAAUUAAGUGUUAUUGAAUUAAAUAAUAAUAAUAAUAAUAAUAAAAACCUACUACACUAAUUUUUAGGUGACAAAGAGUGCCUGUACACAAUGCUUACUAAAGAAGAAACUAGAAAAAUAGCUCUUUUCUGUCGACCAGGCAUCUGUCCACUAAAUCCAGUUGGGAGGAUGGUGAUCGUAAGGGCUUUCUUGAUGAAGGUUGCAUGAAGAUCUUGAGAAAAAUGCAACAAUAUAAUUCUCACCACCUUGGAUUAGAAAGAAACAACCAGGUGGGGAAAAUACUACUACUACUACUAAUAAUAAUAAUAAUAAUAAUGUGCCAAAAAACAAUUUAAUAGAUGGAGGUUAUUACCAAUAAAGCAUUGUAACACUGGAGAGAGACUCAGGCAUAAAUAAUCAAAGGGCAAGGUGAUGAUGGGGAUGGUGAGAACGAGCUACUGGAGACAUUUCUUUUCGUCAUGGAGGUAUCUGCUGCAUAGAAAAGAUGGUAGAUUUAAUUUAGGUCUUUUGUUGUGUGCUUGUCAUUGAACUCUUGGGGGAAUUGCUGUGCACUCCAACUUCACUCUGAGCAAAGAGAAAUAAACUAUCUGAUUUAUUACUUGUGAGGCAUGGAGGAGGGGUGGAGAGUGGAGGAGGAGAGGCAAACAUGAUGAAAUUUAAUUAAUGCUCUUAUCACGUUUGUUUCACCUGCUGUGUUGGUGCUGGUGUGGCUAUGAGAUGUGAUAUUGCCUCCCAUGAAUCACAGGAACUGCUGGAAAAAAAGAGGGACACUCCAGAUUCUGACUGUCACCACGAGAACUGCAAAUAUGUGCUCCAAACAAAACGUGGCUCAGAAUUUCAAAACCCUAACAUUCUAGGAGGCAUAUCUGCAGCUGCAAGCCGCUGACAAACUCCAUCUUGUACAUCUGAGCCUGCAGAGAAGGGCGAGAGCGGUGAUAGAAUAUUGAUGCUCCUCUGGCAUGGGCCUCAUUCAAACCAAAUAGCUUUAUGUUAUUGUGACUGAUACAAUUUCACCGCGUGUACCUGCAUUAAAUUGACAUUCCCAACUUUACUUGGUGCUCUGUGCAUUUUUAAUGCCAAAAUAUGACAGCAUAAGAACAAAUGCUGGUCUAAACCUCCAGCUGGAAGGUUG